AUUGAACGCUGGCGGCAGGCCUAACACAUGCAAGUCGAGCGGAUGAAGGGAGCUUGCUCCUGGAUUCAGCGGCGGACGGGUGAGUAAUGCCUAGGAAUCUGCCUGGUAGUGGGGGAUAACGUCCGGAAACGGGCGCUAAUACCGCAUACGUCCUGAGGGAGAAAGAGGGGGAUCUUUGGACCUCACGCUAUCAGAUGAGCCUAGGUCGGAUUAGCUAGUUGGGGGGGUAAAGGCCUACCAAGGCGACGAUCCGUAACUGGUCUGAGAGGAUGAUCAGUCACACUGGAACGGAGACACGGUCCAGACUCCUACGGGAGGCAGCAGUGGGGAAUAUUGGACAAUGGGCGAAAGCCUGAUCCAGCCAUGCCGCGUGUGUGAAGAAGGUCUUCGGAUUGUAAAGCACUUUAAGUUGGGAGGAAGGGCAGUAAGUUAAUACCUUGCUGUUUUGACGUUACCAACAGAAUAAGCACCGGCUAACUUCGUG
Molecule: ribosomal RNA, 484 nt
Filed under: uncultured bacterium
Lineage: Bacteria
Description: partial 16S ribosomal RNA
Rfam family: Bacterial small subunit ribosomal RNA
Source: RNAcentral